UCAGAAGUGCGAAUGCUGACAUAAGUAACGAUAAAGCGGGUGAAAAGCCCGCUCGCCGGAAGACCAAGGGUUCCUGUCCAACGUUAAUCGGGGCAGGGUGAGUCGACCCCUAAGGCGAGGCCGAAAGGCGUAGUCGAUGGGAAACAGGUUAAUAUUCCUGUACUUGGUGUUACUGCGAAGGGGGGACGGAGAAGGCUAUGUUGGCCGGGCGACGGUUGUCCCGGUUUAAGCGUGUAGGCUGGUUUUCCAGGCAAAUCCGGAAAACCAAGGCUGAGGCGUGAUGACGAGGCACUACGGUGCUGAAGCGACAAAUGCCCUGCUUCCAGGAAAAGCCUCUAAGCAUCAGGUAACAUCAAAUCGUACCCCAAACCGACACAGGUGGUCAGGUAGAGAAUACCAAGGCGCUUGAGAGAACUCGGGUGAAGGAACUAGGCAAAAUGGUGCCGUAACUUCGGGAGAAGGCACGCUGAUAUGUAGGUGAAGCGACUUGCUCGUGGAGCUGAAAUCAGUCGAAGAUACCAGCUGGCUGCAACUGUUUAUUAAAAACACAGCACUGUGCAAACACGAAAGUGGACGUAUACGGUGUGACGCCUGCCCG
This 598-nucleotide ribosomal RNA is filed under the name Escherichia coli. Its description in RNAcentral is "partial 23S ribosomal RNA". It matches the Rfam family "Bacterial large subunit ribosomal RNA", at positions 1282 to 1865 of the family's 2925-position model. Lineage: Bacteria; Pseudomonadati; Pseudomonadota; Gammaproteobacteria; Enterobacterales; Enterobacteriaceae. The record is from RNAcentral.